Molecule: ribosomal RNA, 336 nt
Filed under: Triticum aestivum (bread wheat)
Lineage: Eukaryota; Viridiplantae; Streptophyta; Magnoliopsida; Poales; Poaceae
Description: partial small subunit ribosomal RNA
Source: RNAcentral
AUGCGGAUGGGGUCGGUGCUUGAGGGAGGGUUACCGACCGGAGCAACAGGAGCAGCAAGCUCGACGAGGUUCAGAUUGGAUACAAAUGGUUCACCAAAGACAGAGCAUGAGCAACAGCGAGUGGCUGGGCUGUGCAAUUUUUCUCCCGUCGAGGGGAGCCUUGGCGCAGUGGUAAAGCUGCUGCCUUGUGACCAUGAGGUCAUGGGUUCAAGUCCUGGAAACAGCCUCUUACAGAAAUGUAGGGAAAGGCUGCGUACUAUAGACCCAAAGUGGUCGGACCCUUCCCUGGACCCUGCGCAAGCGGGAGCUACAUGCACCAGGGACAAGGAGCUGUAG